Long non-coding RNA from Pangasianodon hypophthalmus (striped catfish), 1282 nucleotides. RefSeq lists it as uncharacterized. NCBI's taxonomy places the organism in Eukaryota, Metazoa, Chordata, Actinopteri, Siluriformes, Pangasiidae. The transcript is spliced from 3 exons. The record is from RefSeq and is a predicted model, not a curated record.
GUUAGACUGCUGUUGUGCGUUGAAGGCCGUCCUGGCAGGAAGAGGAGCUCUUAGGCAAUGGCACAUAUCAGCUCAGCAGCUGAAUGCUCUCCUGGAGCCUGUCCAAACUCAGACCAUGUUCUCAGAAAGCCAGAGGGAAGCUCUGAUAGUAGUGCAACUGAGGAUAUGGUGACGUUUCCUGUGGAAGGAGUCUCCAGUGUCAGCACUUUGUAACAGUCAGAGCUGAGAUGGUUGGAUAUAAGCUGAGAAGUGAGAUUUGAAAUGACCAAACACCUAGUGGCCAGUUUUCAUUACUAUAUUCCAGUGAAGGAAUCUUCCGGCCAAAUAUCUGCUCCAAAAAACUGCUAGAAUGUUCUGCUUCCUCAUCAUCACCUCUGGUGAAAGCGAGAGACGAUAACAGAGAGAGAGAGAGGGAUUGGGGGGAGGAGGUGAGGUGAAGAGCAAACCGGGUGCCAGGACUCUUCUCUUUUAAGUCUGCUUCCUCCUCUCACUCACAGAGAUGGGAGUCUUCCUGUGUCUGGCCUUUGUCACCUCCUGUUAGCCAAGAAGAGCUUGAAAAGGAAAUGAAGGAUCUCCUUUUUGCCACCUUAAUAUCAUCGGUCAUAAUCGCUUUGUCCUAAGUGGACAACAAGCAGACGUCCGUGGAAGAAAUGAUGAAUCUGGGAAAUUUUUACAGGAUACAAGUAUGACAACAAUACAAUUCUCAUUCAGCUUAUGACGAGAGCUUCUACAGAUGAAUUUAUACCUGUAGCAUGUUAAAAUAUACAACAUUCUCGAAUCUGAUUAGUCAGAAGGUAUUGAUUAAUUUUCUAUAACAGCAGCUUUUAUUUCAAGUUUUUAUUGAUUGAAUUUGUUUUGGGUUGCGUAAGAUUCCUGUCAGCAAACUAGAAUUAACCAAACAACUAAAUGAUGUAUAAUAUGUUUAAGUCUAAAACUUACCUGCCAAAAUGAGUACUUGUCUCAAAACAUUAUUAAGCUAUAUAAUCUUGUUUUUAAAUAAACAUUUUUUAACAUACCAAGAAGAGUUUGUAUUUACAGAUUUAAUUUCAAAGAGGAAGUUAAUUAUCCACAAAAGUGAUUUGUCCAAGAUGGCUGUUCCCACCCUGUUCCAGUUUUCGGCUACAUGGUGAAGUUUAGCUUAUGUUUAUAGAUGACAGGAAGUCACACUAUGUUCUAAACCACAUGUGACAUUACUGAACUUGAUGUAAUUUGAAGUAGAUUUUUACACAAAAGAUUUUAGGUUACUUCCAUUACCUGUUAGCAACAUUAACCUUGUAGUGAA